Molecule: ribosomal RNA, 433 nt
Filed under: uncultured Lactobacillus sp.
Lineage: Bacteria; Bacillati; Bacillota; Bacilli; Lactobacillales; Lactobacillaceae
Description: bacterial SSU rRNA
Rfam family: Bacterial small subunit ribosomal RNA
Source: RNAcentral
GAGUUUGAUCGUGGCUCAGGACGAACGCUGGCGGCAUGCCUAAUACAUGCAAGUCGAACGAGGUUUCCUUAAUGAUAGUUGGUGCUUGCAUUAAUUUGACUUAAGAUCUAACCGAGUGGCGAACUGGUGAGUAACACGUGGGGAACCUGCCCUUAAGUAGGGGAUAACAUUUGGAAACAAAUGCUAAUACCGUAUAACAACAUAAGCCACAUGGUUUAUGUUUGAAAGAUGGCUCUGCUAUCGCUUUUGGAUGGACCCGCGGCGUAUUAGCUAGUUGGUGAGAUAAUGGCUCACCAAGGCGAUGAUACGUAGCCGACCUGAGAGGGUAAUCGGCCACAUUGGAACUGAGACACGGUCCAGACUCCUACGGGAGCAGCAGGUAGGAAUCUUCACAUGGACGAAAGUCUGAUGAAGCAAUGCCGCGUGAGUGAUG